RNAcentral lists this ribosomal RNA (454 nucleotides) under uncultured bacterium. Its description in RNAcentral is "bacterial SSU rRNA". It matches the Rfam family "Bacterial small subunit ribosomal RNA", at positions 340 to 786 of the family's 1533-position model. The record is from RNAcentral.
UACGGAAGGCAGCAGUGGGGAAGUAUUGCACAAUGGGCGCAAGCCUGAUGCAGCCAUGCCGCGUGUAUGAAAAAGGCCUUCGGGUUGUAAAGUACUUUCAGUCGUGAGGAAGGUGUUAAGGUUAAUAACCUUAGCAAUUGACGUUAGCGACAGAAGAAGCACCGGCUAACUCCGUGCCAGCAGCCGCGGUAAUACGGAGGGUGCGAGCGUUAAUCGGAAUUACUGGGCGUAAAGGGCACGCAGGCGGUUAAUUAAGUUGGAUGUGAAAUCCCCGGGCUUAACCUGGGAAUGGCAUUCAAGACUGGUUAGCUAGAGUCUUGUAGAGGGGGUAGAAUUCCAUGUGUAGCGGUGAAAUGCGUAGAGAUGUGGAGGAAUACCGGUGGCGAAGGCGGCCCCUGGACAAAGACUGACGCUCAUGUGCGAAAGCGUGGGGAGCAAACAGGGAUUAGAUACC